GAAGUGAAAAAGGAAAACAAACAACCAUGCAACCCUUCCCCAAAAGAGAAAAAGAGAAAGCAAAACUCUUCUUCUUCUUCGCGAGCUGAAGCCACUCGUCAUCGACUGUGCAUCUAAACCCAGCCAGUAGAACCUGCCCAGAUAAUUGGGGGGUCCCCAUCCUUCCAACCUCUCCCCUUUGUCUUCAUUAUUCCUCUGCAAAUUCAACCAAACUAUUGCCCUUCCUCUGCAAAUUCGACCAAGACAGUGCACGGGCUAAAACCAAUUUUUAUAGGUGCCAUGAAUUCCGACGAGAGCGGAGGGGUUGAACCAGCGCUCCUAAACGUAUUUUCCGACUAGGGAAGGGGCGGUCGCCACUCCUCACCCUCACAUAGCUUCGCCAUUGACCCUAACUAUGUUAAACAUUUAGUCCACUAAACUUUCAAGAUGUGCUUAAAAAAUCCUGCAUAAUAUAAAUGUUUUGUUGUCAAAUUAUUGUUCGAUCAACUUCUUAAUUGAAU
This 500-nucleotide long non-coding RNA is filed under the name Malus domestica (apple). Its description in RNAcentral is "long non-coding RNA (MDOM_LNC011114)". The record is from RNAcentral. Lineage: Eukaryota; Viridiplantae; Streptophyta; Magnoliopsida; Rosales; Rosaceae.